RNAcentral lists this ribosomal RNA (448 nucleotides) under uncultured bacterium. RNAcentral describes it as "bacterial SSU rRNA". It matches the Rfam family "Bacterial small subunit ribosomal RNA", at positions 328 to 793 of the family's 1533-position model. The record is from RNAcentral.
GUUCCAGACUCCUACGGGAGGCAGCAGUGGGGAAUAUUGCACAAUGGGGGAAACCCUGAUGCAGCGACGCCGCGUGAGCGAUGAAGUAUUUCGGUAUGUAAAGCUCUAUCAGCAGGGAAGAAGAUGACGGUACCUGACUAAGAAGCCCCGGCUAACUACGUGCCAGCAGCCGCGGUAAUACGUAGGGGGCAAGCGUUAUCCGGAUUUACUGGGUGUAAAGGGAACGUAGACGGCAGUGCAAGUCCGGAGUGAAAGCCCGGGGCUCAACCCUGGGACUGCUCUGGAAACUGUAAAGCUGGAGUGCGGGAGGGGCAGGCGGAAUUCCUGGUGUAGCGGCGAAAUGCGUAGAUAUCAGGAGGAACACCGGCGGCGAAGGCGGCCUGCUGGACCGUAACUGACGUUGAGGCUCGAAAGCGUGGGGAGCAAACAGGAUUAGAUACCCGGGUAG